UGCGGGGCAAUUGGCGAUUUGCCGUUCAAAAUGACUCUCAGAGGGCCCUGCGAUCAAAAGGGUGAUAUUAUGGAUUAAAACGUCAAGACACAUAUUAUUUUUUCAAAACAAACGGAAAAAUUCCCAAAUUUUGGUGUUAAGAGGUCAAUUAAUCAAGAUUGGAUUGCUGAUUAAGGUUGUUGAAAACUGUAUUGUUCCAAAUUGUAACAGCGAGGAAAACCUACCCGGAAUCAUAAUUUUUCAGUCUAGAGCAUAAAGGAGUUUUUUUGAAUUCAUGAUGAAUCACUCGGAAGAUCCGCGUUGAAUCUCGGAGAAAUAUUUUUACAUAAAAAAUAAAACGCAACAAUAACAAACAUUCGGAUUACAAGAACAAAAAGAAGUUUGCGUGUGAGAACGAAAGGAGGAAAGAAAUACCGAAAGGCAAUUGGCGAAAUUAGAGAAAGUGGAUUAAAUAAUCACCGAUAAAUUUAUUACUUUCGAUUUUGAUGCAUCGCAAAUCCAUAGCAGGAUCGUGAACUUUAUUCCUUCACAAAAGAAGAACCAUCCUCCAAAACCAUCAUUAUCAUGGAAUACUUGAAUUUAACAAACCCGAGUUUAACCUUCCCAUGCCGUUCGGGUCAAUAUGACCCGAAGCGCACAUUUAAAAUCUUUUUAUCAUCAUUCCAAUAUACUGAAGAACUUGGAAUUUUGACAGACCAAGUAUGUUCUAUGAAAAUAAUGAUCAAAUUAACGUCAAAAAAUUGAAAUUUGAGUUUUGAAAAUCGGUUCAUUGGGAAAUGUAAUACAGCUAAGC
Long non-coding RNA from Uranotaenia lowii, 793 nucleotides. RefSeq lists it as uncharacterized. Lineage: Eukaryota; Metazoa; Arthropoda; Insecta; Diptera; Culicidae. The record is from RefSeq and is a predicted model, not a curated record. The transcript has 3 exons.